Molecule: ribosomal RNA, 271 nt
Filed under: uncultured bacterium
Lineage: Bacteria
Description: partial 16S rRNA
Rfam family: Bacterial small subunit ribosomal RNA
Source: RNAcentral
CGGCCACGGGGAANAANNAGGGGGUGAUGUUCAGGUUCAGUANUGCCCUUACAACUGGGGGUACAAAACAACGNUACAAUGGGCCGGAACAAAGGGCUGCCAAGUCGCAAGACGGAGCAAAUCCCAUCAAAGCCGGUCCCAGUUCGGAUAGCAGGCUGAAACUCGCCUGCUUGAAGUCGGAAUCGCUAGUAACGGUAGGUCAGCUAUACUACCCGUGAAUACGUUNCCCGGGUCUUGUACACACCGCCCGUCAAACCAUGAAAAUCGUGAG